UUGGAGGCAAGUCUGGUGCAGCAGCGCGGUAAUUCCAGCUCCAAUAGCGUAUGUUAAAGUUGUUGCAGUUAAAAAGCUCGUAGUUGAAUUUCGGGGUCAGUAGGUUGGUCAUGCCACUGGUAUGUACUGGUCUCACUGAUUCCUCCUUCCUGAUGAGCCGUAAUGCCAUUAAUUUGGUUGUUGCGAGGAAUCUGGACUGUUACUUUGAAAAAAUUAGAGUGUUUAAAGCAAGCUAACGCUUGAAUACAUUAGCAUGGAAUAAUGAAAUAGGACGUUCGAUCCUAUUUUGUUGGUUUCUAGGAUUGACGUAAUGAUUAAUAGGGAUAGUUGGGGGCAUUAGUAUUCAAUUGUCAGAGGUGAAAUUCUUGGAUUUAUUGAAGACUAACUACUGCGAAAGCAUUUGCCAAGGAUGUUUUCAUUAAUCAAGAACGAAAGUUAGGGGAUCGAAGACGAUCAGAUACCGUCGUAGUCUUAACCAUAAACUAUGCCGACUAGGGAUCGGAUGAUGUUAAUUUUUUAAUGACUCAUUCGGCGCCUUACGGGAAAC
This 547-nucleotide ribosomal RNA is filed under the name uncultured Glomeromycotina. RNAcentral describes it as "SSU rRNA". It matches the Rfam family "Eukaryotic small subunit ribosomal RNA", at positions 548 to 1098 of the family's 1831-position model. The record is from RNAcentral. Lineage: Eukaryota; Fungi; Glomeromycota.